CUAGACGGCUUGCUUUAACCAAUGGCAAGUUCGAACGGUAACAGGUGUAGCAAAUACAUGCUGACGAGUGGCGGACGGGUGAGGAAUGCUUGGGAAUCUGCCUGUUAGUGGGGGACAACCCGGGGAAACUCGGGCUAAUACCGCAUACGCUCUACGGAGGAAAGCGGGGGACCGUAAGGCCUCGCGCUAACAGAUGAGCCCAAGUCGGAUUAGCUAGUUGGUGGGGUAAAGGCCUACCAAGGCGACGAUCCGUAGCUGGUCUGAGAGGACGAUCAGCCACACUGGGACUGAGACACGGCCCAGACUCCUACGGGAGGCAGCAGUGGGGGAUAUUGGACAAUGGGGGCAACCCUGAUCCAGCAAUGCCGCGUGUGUGAAGAAGGCCUGCGGGUUGUAAAGCACUUUUGGCAGGGAUGAAAAGCACUGGAUUAAUAACCCAGUGUGUUGACCUAACCUGCAGAAGAAGCACCGGCUAACUCUGUGCCAGCAGCCGCGGUAAUACAGAGGGUGCAAGCGUUAAUCGGAAUUACUGGGCGUAAAGCGCGCGUAGGCGGUCGAGUAAGUCGGAUGUGAAAUCCCCGGGCUUAACCUGGGAAUUGCAUUCGAUACUGCUUGGCUAGAGUGUGGAAGAGGGAAGCGGAAUUUCCGGUGUAGCGGUGAAAUGCGUAGAUAUCGGAAGGAACACCAGUGGCGAAGGCGGCUUCCUGGUCCAACACUGACGCUGAGGCGCGAAAGCGUGGGGAGCGAACAGGAUUAGAUACCCUGGUAGUCCACGCUGUAAACGAUGAGAACUAGAUGUUGGGGGGUAUAACCCCUCAGUGUCGCAGCUAACGCGUUAAGUUCUCCGCCUGGGGAGUACGGCCGCAAGGUUGAAACUCAAAGGAAUUGACGG
This 892-nucleotide ribosomal RNA is filed under the name uncultured Gammaproteobacteria bacterium. RNAcentral describes it as "bacterial SSU rRNA". It matches the Rfam family "Bacterial small subunit ribosomal RNA", at positions 36 to 916 of the family's 1533-position model. Lineage: Bacteria; Pseudomonadati; Pseudomonadota; Gammaproteobacteria. The record is from RNAcentral.